Triticum dicoccoides is the source of this 1825-nucleotide long non-coding RNA. RefSeq lists it as uncharacterized. The record is from RefSeq and is a predicted model, not a curated record. The transcript has 3 exons. Lineage: Eukaryota; Viridiplantae; Streptophyta; Magnoliopsida; Poales; Poaceae.
GCGGAACGCCAUCCACCCACAGCGAGCCUACACAGCUCUGACUCCGGCGAAGAACUACGGAGAAACAAAGCAAGGUUGGCGUCGCAGAAGAACACCGAACGGACCACCUGUCACCUGUCAUCGUACACCACCGGAGCCCCGCCCCACAGCUUCGACUUCGCAGCAACAAGCAGCCGAGGUAAACUUAAGGACACGUCGGAGAAGAGCCGACUACCAUGACCAAUGCCACGCCUCCGGCGAUGCUCACCACCGUCAUCGUUGCCAUAGAAGCCAAACCGCCCUCAUUGUCGAACGGACACGACCAAGCAGCACGAACGACAUCCCUAUCUACCAUUGGUUCCUCUGGCCGGUAAGAAGCUCCUAGAACGAUGCCCCAAGAGGUGUGACGCGUGUCGCCAUCAUCCUCCGAUCCCACGGGAUCAUGGGUUUUUUCCGAGCAUUCUUGCGUAGUGGAGCGAGCAGGAAAGCCUCAGUGACGCCUUCAAGAAGGAAGCGGCGCCCGCAAACACCGUCGUUACCUGCCCCGGCCCAAAAACCGACAACAAGGUCUUCACCCGGCACUGCACCUCCAAUCACAACCCGAGCCAGACCACCACCACAGGAGCCAGAUCCAACAUGUGGUCAGAUCCGGCACCCCGUGCAUCAGCUGAAGCCACCCUUGCUCGCGCCACCGGCCGUGUACUGCCGUCCACACGGCCAGCACACCGCUCAGCACUACCUCGCCCUGGAGGCGCUGCCUCGGCGACCUCCCACUUGCAGAUCCACGAGCACAACGCAGACUCCCUGACAGCUCCAGCCUCCACCAAACACCACCAACACACCCACUCCCGCUGCCUCACUCGCCGGGACCAGGAUCCCGCCCGAGAAUCAGCAGGGUGCCUCCAACGAGCGCCCUGGCUGGCACCACCGGCGCUCGGCCCGCUGGGACCACGCCCCCACGGCCGGGGAGAGCAGAGGAGCCAUCCCGACCAGAGGAGGACGUGGCCCGAAGGCCCAGAUCCAGUCCCCCCAAACGCUGGUGUGCAGCCACCACCGAGCUCCGGCCAAGGGCGGCCCUGCCGCCGAGAGGGACGCCGCCCCUCGAGCAGCACGCGCCGGCCACCCGACGCCGGCCGGACACCCGCCACCAGACACCCGAGCGCCCCCAGAUGCGCGACCAAGGGUCGCCGACAGCAGAAACCGCCCCGCCGCCGCCUUCCCUGGGGUACGCGCGGGCUUCUCCGGCAUCCCCUCCGGCAGCGGCGCAGCGAGGGAGGAGAGGCGGGGUAGCCUGGCGGCGCAGCUAGGGUUGCCCCCUGUGUCGCGAGAGGAGGCGACGCCAGGCAUGACAUUGUUACCAUAGUUCUUUUUCCGUGGAAUUCCUCUCUUCAUAUUCUUCCUGGCAGGCCUCAACCGUGUUGAUCUGAUGCCACUGUGGGGUGUAUGUCUGUUGGUGCUUUAGUUCCAAACCUACUGCUCCAUGUCUAUGCAUGACAGUGAUCCGCGAGAGGCGUGACCAGGCUGUUCUGUACCACGGUCGCCUCCUGCGCCGUGGCGCUACAUGUGACAUGCCGUGUACACUUUCUCCCGCGGAAGCCUCCUUCGCCGUGCUGAAAUCUAGGAGCCCCCUCCAUCAUCCCCACCGUCGUCCCCGUCACCGACCCCCCUCCGACCUUGAAGUGAGACCAGCCAAAUCUCCAUGUCAAUAUGAGUCCUAUAAGAUAUUUUGAAAUGUUUUUGCUCAUAAUUUCAAGCAUUGAAAUGUAAUGGCCAUCAAGUUUGAAUGCUCAUAUGAUGUAGAUAAAAACAUGUAUAUUUCCGUUCGGGCAAAUUUCAGGCGCUCGAU